CGAAGCCUGACGGAGCAAUACCGCGUGAGGGAAGAAGGCUUUUGGGUUGUAAACCUCUUUUGUCAGGGAAGAAGAAUUGACGGUACCUGAAGAAAAAGCAUCGGCUAACUCCGUGCCAGCAGCCGCGGUAAUACGGAGGAUGCAAGCGUUAUCCGGAAUCAUUGGGCGUAAAGGGUCCGCAGGUGGCGAAUAAAGUCUGCUGUUAAAGACCGGGGCUAAACUCCGGAAAGGCAGUGGAAACUGAUUAGCUAGAGUACGGUAGGGGUAGAGGGAAUUCCCAGUGUAGCGGUGAAAUGCGUAGAUAUUGGGAAGAACACCGGUGGCGAAAGCGCUCUACUAGGCCGAAACUGACACUGAGGGACGAAAGCUAGGGUAGCGAAAGGGAUUAGAUACCCCUGUAGUCUUAGCGGUAAACGAUGGAUACUAGGUGUAGCUUGUAUCGACCCGAGCUGUGCCGAAGCUAACGCGAUAAGUAUCCCGCCUGGGGAGUACGCACGCAAGUGUGAAACUCAAAGGAAUUGACGGGGGCCCGCACAAGCGGUGGAGUAUGUGGUUUAAUUCGAUGCAACGCGAAGAACCUUACCAGGGCUUGACAUGUCGCGAAUCUAGCGGAAACGUUAGAGUGCCUUAGGGAAUGCGAACACAGGUGGUGCAUGGCUGUCGUCAGCUCGUGUCGUGAGAUGUUGGGUUAAGUCCCGCAACGAGCGCAACCCUCGUCCUUAGUUGCCAAUAUUAAGUUAGGCACUCUAGGGAGACUGCCGGGGACAACUCGGAGGAAGGUGGGGAUGACGUCAAGUCAGCAUGCCCCUUACGUCCUGGGCGACACACGUACUACAAUGGUUGGGACAAAGGGCAGCAAGCUCGCGAGAGUAAGCGAAUCUCAUCAAACCCAGCCACAGUUCAGAUUGCAGGCUGCAACUCGCCUGCAUGAAGUAGGAAUCGCUAGUAAUCGCAGGUCAGCAUACUGCGGUGAAUUCGUUCCCGUGCCUUGUACACACCGCCCGUCACACCAUGGAAGCUGGCUACGCCCGAAGUCGUUACCCUAACCCGGUUUUGGGAGGGGGAUGCCGAAGGUAGAGCUAGUGACUGGGGUGAAGUCGUAACAAGGUAGCCGUACCGGAAGGUGUGGCUGGAUCACCUCCUUU
RNAcentral lists this ribosomal RNA (1145 nucleotides) under uncultured cyanobacterium. RNAcentral describes it as "bacterial SSU rRNA". It matches the Rfam family "Bacterial small subunit ribosomal RNA", at positions 377 to 1533 of the family's 1533-position model. Lineage: Bacteria; Bacillati; Cyanobacteriota. The record is from RNAcentral.